Molecule: long non-coding RNA, 975 nt
Organism: Cucumis sativus (cucumber)
Lineage: Eukaryota; Viridiplantae; Streptophyta; Magnoliopsida; Cucurbitales; Cucurbitaceae
Exons: 2
Source: RefSeq, a predicted model, not a curated record
CUUCUCUUCUCCUCUUUCCUCCUCCUUCUCUCCUGUUUUCUUCCCCCUUCUCCUCUGUUUUCUCCCCCCUUCUCCUCUUCUGUUUCCUCCCCUUCUUCUUUUGACCAAGAGAACAAUCAACAACUUCUUCAACUUUGUAUUAUUUUUAACAGAUGUCAGAUCAUAGAAAAGACAGAACUUUUUUCCCUUUUUUUAGAACCAUGUGAGCGAAAGACAAAACUUUUCUUCCUCUUUUUUCAGACCCACGUGAGCAUAAGACGGAAGAUAGAAGACCCACGAACGAAGAACGGCCAGGAACGAAGAAUGGCGCAGAUGGAGGAAGUCGCACGAAUGGCAAACUAGGGUUUAAUUUCAAUUUAAAGUUUUGUUUUACAUUUGAACCGAACCGACCCAAUUCAAUUCGGUAACAAUACUGUUGAAGUCCAAUCCAACCCGAACCGAACCGAAUCAAGUCAGAGAAGAUGAAGAGAGUAAGAGGGAGAAGAUGAACACACGAUGUUUUAAAGUGGUUCGACAAGGCCUACGUCCACUGUGCUUUAGAGAGCAAGGUAUUAUUUCUUUUCAAUUUUUUGUGUGUGCAAAAUAUCAAAGAGAUACAAGAGUAUUUAUAGACUACCCUAUCACCUUUAGCUAAACUCUAGUUAGACAAGAAAUUAAAACUUACAGAUUUAACUAUAUGUCUUUUACAAAGAGAUAACUCUUUUAGAAAAGAGUUAUUCCCACACUUUCAAAUGGGCUUAUAUCCACAAAAUAUUCCUAAGGAGCUAAAAGUUCAAAAGCACUAGGUAAGGGUAGGUAUGGGUAGAGAGACUUCCAUUAAAGCGGGGGAUUAUUCCUGAUAUUUUAGAAAGUGAGAUGAAUUACUUAUAGGGAGAAUUUACGCUUCUUGCAACUAAACUAAGGCCAAAUGUGAUAUUUCGUUUUCAUAUGCAACGAGAUCUUCUUCGGGAUGGAAGAAAAGUUGUUACAGAGUGU